GGGAGUAACACAGAAAAACCUGUCCUCAAGAGGGAAACAACAAUUGGAAACAAUUGCUAAUAACUUGUAGGUCGUGGAACCAUGGUAAGAAUCACAAAGAGGUUUGCGUUUGAUUAUCUAGUAAGUGAAAUAGUAUCUUAUCAAAACAAUAAUCGGUAAUUGGUUCGAGAGGAUGAUCACUCAC
This 184-nucleotide ribosomal RNA is filed under the name Olea europaea subsp. europaea. RNAcentral's name for it is "SSU_rRNA_bacteria". Lineage: Eukaryota; Viridiplantae; Streptophyta; Magnoliopsida; Lamiales; Oleaceae. The record is from RNAcentral.